RNAcentral lists this ribosomal RNA (484 nucleotides) under uncultured bacterium. RNAcentral describes it as "partial 16S ribosomal RNA". It matches the Rfam family "Bacterial small subunit ribosomal RNA", at positions 29 to 507 of the family's 1533-position model. The record is from RNAcentral.
AUUGAACGCUGGCGGCAUGCUUUACACAUGCAAGUCGAGCGGCAGCGCGGGCUUCGGCCUGGCGGCGAGUGGCGAACGGGUGAGUAAUACAUCGGAACGUGCCCAGUAGUGGGGGAUAGCUCGGCGAAAGCCGGAUUAAUACCGCAUACGACCUGAGGGUGAAAGCGGGGGAUCUUCGGACCUCGCGCUAUUGGAGCGGCCGAUGGCAGAUUAGCUAGUUGGUGGGGUAAAGGCCUACCAAGGCGACGAUCUGUAGCUGGUCUGAGAGGACGACCAGCCACACUGGGACUGAGACACGGCCCAGACUCCUACGGGAGGCAGCAGUGGGGAAUUUUGGACAAAGGGCGAAAGCCUGAUCCAGCAAUGCCGCGUGUGUGAUGAAGGCCUUCGGGUUGUAAAGCACUUUUGGCGGGAACGAAAAGGACUGUGCCAAUACCACGGUUCGAUGACGGUACCCGCAGAAUAAGCACCGGCUAACUACGUG